Molecule: ribosomal RNA, 361 nt
Filed under: uncultured Streptococcus sp.
Lineage: Bacteria; Bacillati; Bacillota; Bacilli; Lactobacillales; Streptococcaceae
Description: bacterial SSU rRNA
Rfam family: Bacterial small subunit ribosomal RNA
Source: RNAcentral
UUCGGUACAUCGGUGACAGUGGUGCAUGGUUGUCGUCAGCUCGUGUCGUGAGAUGUUGGGUUAAGUCCCGCAACGAGCGCAACCCCUAUUGUUAGUUGCCAUCAUUCAGUUGGGCACUCUAGCGAGACUGCCGGUAAUAAACCGGAGGAAGGUGGGGAUGACGUCAAAUCAUCAUGCCCCUUAUAACCUGGGCUACACACGUGCUACAAUGGUUGGUACAACGAGUUGCGAGUCGGUGACGGCGAGCUAAUCUCUUAAAGCCAAUCUCAGUUCGGAUUGUAGGCUGCAACUCGCCUACAUGAAGUCGGAAUCGCUAGUAAUCGCGGAUCAGCACGCCGCGGUGAAUACGUUCCCGGGCCUU